This 469-nucleotide ribosomal RNA is filed under the name uncultured Pseudomonadota bacterium. Its description in RNAcentral is "bacterial SSU rRNA". It matches the Rfam family "Bacterial small subunit ribosomal RNA", at positions 506 to 975 of the family's 1533-position model. Lineage: Bacteria; Pseudomonadati; Pseudomonadota. The record is from RNAcentral.
UGCCAGCAGCCGCGGUAAUACGGAGGGGGCUAGCGUUGUUCGGAAUUACUGGGCGUAAAGCGCGCGUAGGCGGACGAGAAAGUCAGAGGUGAAAUCCCAGGGCUCAACCCUGGAACUGCCUUUGAAACUCCUUGUCUUGAGGUCGAGAGAGGUGAGUGGAAUUCCGAGUGUAGAGGUGAAAUUCGUAGAUAUUCGGAGGAACACCAGUGGCGAAGGCGGCUCACUGGCUCGAUACUGACGCUCAUGCACGAAAGCGUGGGGAGCAAACAGGAUUAGAUACCCUGGUAGUCCACGCCCUAAACGAUGUCAACUAGCUGUUGGGGCCUUCGGGCUUUAGUAGCGCAGCUAACGCGUGAAGUUGACCGCCUGGGGAGUACGGUCGCAAGAUUAAAACUCAAAGGAAUUGACGGGGACCCGCACAAGCGGUGGAUGAUGUGGAUUAAUUCGAUGCAACGCGCAGAACCUUACC